AUUGAAACACCGGUUCAGAUACGAUCGCCGAAGUUAAGCAACGUCGAGCCUGGUCAGUAUCUUGAUGGGUAACCGCUCGUGAAUACUAGUUGCUGUAAG
Non-coding RNA from Acanthosepion pharaonis, 99 nucleotides. The record is from the annotation of a GenBank genome assembly. Lineage: Eukaryota; Metazoa; Mollusca; Cephalopoda; Sepiida; Sepiidae.